RNAcentral lists this ribosomal RNA (253 nucleotides) under uncultured bacterium. RNAcentral describes it as "partial 16S ribosomal RNA". It matches the Rfam family "Bacterial small subunit ribosomal RNA", at positions 524 to 776 of the family's 1533-position model. The record is from RNAcentral.
GACAGAGGGUGCAAACGUUGUUCGGAAUUACUGGGCGUAAAGCGCGCGUAGGCGGACCGGCAAGUCGGGGGUGAAAGCCCGAGGCUCAACCUCGGAACUGCCUUCGAUACUGCGGGUCUCGAGUCCGGGAGAGGUGAGUGGAAUUCCUAGUGUAGAGGUGAAAUUCGUAGAUAUUAGGAAGAACACCAGUGGCGAAGGCGGCUCACUGGCUCGGUACUGACGCUGAGGCGCGAAAGCGUGGGGAGCAAACAGG